UUCUAAAAAGAUUUGCCAUUAAGAAAUUAAUAUGUGUUGUUAAUAUGAAUAAUUCAUGCUUUACAUACGUUUUAGUUAAAAGGAAAAUAUCGCUAAAAUGUAUUUCCUGUUCUGGCGGGGCACUUCCGGUUCCGGUCGAGCACUUCCGGUUUUGGUCAAGCGCUCGGUUUUGCUGAGAAACAGGCUCCUCAUGCUAAAGGCAGUAUGGAGAUGUAAUCUAAUGCCAUCUACUCCGAAUUAUCAGGCCGGAACGCCUUUUCACCACAUGUUCAUGGAGACAAUUAAACAAGCUGCAACUAAACUCCAGGGUCUUCAUUUGUGGUUUAACUCUGUGUCACCAACAUCCUCGUUGAAAACACUAUAGUGAAAAGGCGGCUACUGGUGAUUCAUCACGGUCAAAAUGGCAUCCAGUAACAAGUCUGCACGCAGUUUAAGGACCAGCCGCUCAUCUGGAUCAGCAGUAAGCGCUGCCCAUGCUCGAGCUAAAGCAGAGGCUGCCAAGGACUUUAACCGGAACUGCCCACUGCAUAACAAGCCACACCCGCUCAAAAGAUGCAGAACAUUUAGGAAUAAAGCACUGGACGAAAGGAAGGCCUUCCUCAAAGAGAAAGGAUUAUGCUUCAGAUGCUGUUCUUCAGAUACUCAUCUUGCGAAGGAAUGCAAAUCUUCAGUAAAGUGUUCUGAAUGUGACAGCACAAGUCACGACGCAGUCAUGCAUCCCGGUCCUCCACCACAGACCAACAAGGCUCCACCUCCGGCACAAGAGAAUGGCGGGGAGAGAGAAAACAGUCAUGACACGGUUGAUGUCACAACAAGCUGCACAGACGUGUGCGGUUCAGUUUUCACCACAUGUUCAUGGAGACAAUUAAACAAGCUGCAACUAAACUCCAGGGUCUUCAUUUGUGGUUUAACUCGGUGUCACCAACAUCCUCGUUGAAAACACUACAGACUCUAUGUGGGGAUGUGACUCUAAAGCAGGUGUCAUUUUAAUAACAUGUGUUAGAAUGCAUGCAAAAAGACAAGACAGUGCUAAAGCGGCUGUGAUCAGAUGUGAGUCCUAGUGGCUAAUGGCUAAUGCUUCUUUAUGAAGUAGAGGUGUCUGAGGAGGAUGCUUGCCUUAUGAAGCUCUCUUAUAUGAAGACCACACCAUCUUUGUGCUGUGUGGCUCAGACGACCGGGCCAUAGACCUCACUAGGUGUUAGCAGCCUGGAUUUCUGUUUAUUAUAUUUGGAAAUAAGAGCUUCAUUUUGAUUUAAUGUGAUUCCCCAUAUAUUUCAUAAAGCCUGAUGUGCUGGUGGAGUUUUGUUGGACGUGGAGAAAUACACAGGGCUGAUAUGCAGGGAAUCAUUUUCAAAAGUAGAUAUUGCCAGGUCAGUUGAUGUUGUCGAAAUUUGUUCCAGAAGCUUGUUCUCCAGGAGAUUUGGUAGCUUUAAUGCGUUCAAUGAUAUAUGAUUUACAGAGGUUUUAAGAAGCCUAUGUCAAAAAAUCUCUAGAAUACUGUGAGAAUGACUAUGCCACUUCUCAUAAGCGCUAUAUGAUUCUUCCCCGGAAUAUAAUAUGUUAAUCUUUUAUUCAUAAAGUUUUGUUUUUUGAAUAAGGAGAGCAAUGCACAUCAUAAUUUAACAUGAAUAUCUUUAUUAAUUUCUUACAUACCAUGUACUGUUUGAUUCUUUGUACUUUUGUUUCAUAUGUUGUUUGUUUAAUUUAAGACUAAAAAAAAAAAAAUUAAAUGAAUGAGAGGUAAAACUUGAGGGGGUAGGGACAAAUAAGUAAAUACUUCUGCCUACUCCUUUUCAAACAAAUAAUGGAAUGAUAUUUUGUAAUGAUUGUGAAGGCAC
This is a long non-coding RNA of Astatotilapia calliptera (eastern happy), 1838 nucleotides long. The record is from Ensembl. NCBI's taxonomy places the organism in Eukaryota, Metazoa, Chordata, Actinopteri, Cichliformes, Cichlidae.